RNAcentral lists this ribosomal RNA (490 nucleotides) under uncultured bacterium. RNAcentral describes it as "partial 16S ribosomal RNA". It matches the Rfam family "Bacterial small subunit ribosomal RNA", at positions 30 to 507 of the family's 1533-position model. The record is from RNAcentral.
AUUGAACGCUGGCGGCAGGCCUAACACAUGCCAGUCGAACGGUAACAGGAAGAAGCUUGCUUCUUUGCUGACGAGUGGCGGACGGGUGAGUAAUGUCUGGGAAACUGCCUGAUGGAGGGGGAUAACUACUGGAAACGGUAGCUAAUACCGCAUAACGUCGCAAGACCAAAGAGGGGGACCUUCGGGCCUCUUGCCAUCGGAUGUGCCCAGAUGGGAUUAGCUAGUAGGUGGGGUAACGGCUCACCUAGGCGACGAUCCCUAGCUGGUCUGAGAGGAUGACCAGCCACACUGGAACUGAGACACGGUCCAGACUCCUACGGGAGGCAGCAGUGGGGAAUAUUGCACAAUGGGCGCAAGCCUGAUGCAGCCAUGCCGCGUGUAUGAAGAAGGCCUUCGGGCUGUAAAGUACUUUCAGCGGGGAGGAAGGGAGUAAAGUUAAUACCUUUACUCAUUGACGUUACCCGCAGAAGAAGCACCGGCUAACUCCGUG